RNAcentral lists this ribosomal RNA (475 nucleotides) under uncultured bacterium. Its description in RNAcentral is "bacterial SSU rRNA". It matches the Rfam family "Bacterial small subunit ribosomal RNA", at positions 29 to 506 of the family's 1533-position model. The record is from RNAcentral.
UUGAACGCUGGCGGCAUGCUUUACACAUGCAAGUCGAACGGUAACAGGUUAAGCUGACGAGUGGCGAACGGGUGAGUAAUGCAUCGGAACGUGCCCGAUCGUGGGGGAUAACGCAGCGAAAGCUGCGCUAAUACCGCAUACGAUCUGAGGAUGAAAGCGGGGGACCGUAAGGCCUCGCGCGAUCGGAGCGGCCGAUGUCAGAUUAGGUAGUUGGUGGGGUAAAGGCCUACCAAGGCGACGAUCUGUAGCGGGUCUGAGAGGAUGAUCCGCCACACUGGGACUGAGACACGGCCCAGACUCCUACGGGAGGCAGCAGUGGGGAAGUUUGGACAAUGGGCGAAAGCCUGAUCCAGCCAUGCCGCGUGCGGGAAGAAGGCCUUCGGGUUGUAAACCGCUUUCAGCCGGAAAGAAAUCGCCACUUCUAAUACGAGUGGUGGAUGACGGUACCGGAAGAAGAAGCACCGGCUAACUACGU